UGUUACACAGUAAUAGGUAAUCAAAACCAAGUACCAAUCUAUGGGAGAUGAUCUCCAAGUACUAAUAGCUUCCAAUGGACAAGGCAAGAAUACUGGAGUGGGUUGCCACUACCUCCUCCAAGGGAUCUUUCCGACCCAGGGAUCAAGCCAGUGUCUCCUGCAUUGCAGGCAGAUUCUUGACCACUGAGCCACCUGGGAUGCCCUAUAAAUCACUACAUUCAGUUCAGUUCAGUCGCUCAGUUGUGUCCAACUCUUUGCCAUCCCAUGAAUCGCAGCACGCCAGGCCUCCCUGUCCAUCACCAACUCCCGGAGUUCACCCAGACUCACAUCCAUCGAGUCAGUGAUGCCAUCCAGCCAUCUCAUCCUCUGUCGUCCCCUUCUCCUCCUGCCCCCAAUCCCUCCCAGAAUCAGAGUCUUUUCCAAUGAGUCAACUCUUCGCAUGAGGUGGCCAAAGUACUGGAGUUUCAGCUUUAGCAUCAUUCCUUCCAAAGAAAUCCCAGGGCUGAUCUCCUUCAGAAGGGACUGGUUGGAUCUCCUUGCAGUCCAAGGGACUCUCAAGAGUCUUCUCCAACACCACAGUUCAAAAGUACGGACUACACAGUCCAUGGAAUUCUCCAGGCCAGAAUACUGGAGUGGGUAGCCUUUUCCUUCUCAGGGGAUCAUCCCAACCCAGGGAUCAAACCCAGGUUUUCCGCAUUGCAGGCGGAUUCUUUACCAACUGAGCUAUCAGGGAAGCCCAUAAAAUGAAAGUCACUCAGUCGUGUCUGACUUUUUCCAACUGUAUAGUCCAUGGAAUUGUUCAGGCCAGAAUACUGGAGUGGGUAUCUGUUCUUUUCUCCAGGGGAUCUUCCCAACCCAGGGAUCAAACCCAGGUCUCCCACAUUGCAGGAGGAUUCUUUACCAGCUGAGCCACCAGGGAAGCCCAUUAAUAUUCCAAUGUAUACUUAAUUACUUUUCAACUCAUCAUUUUUACUGGAAAAAGCAGAAAACACUGGGAAGACCACCAUCAGUUUUGUCAUUAAGAAUUUUCAUCAAUGGAUAUUAACUAUUAGGGGAAAGACUUGGGAGAACACAAUAUUCAUCCACUCUCAAAGAGGUUCCAGAGAGGAGA
Bos taurus (domestic cattle) is the source of this 1111-nucleotide long non-coding RNA. Lineage: Eukaryota; Metazoa; Chordata; Mammalia; Artiodactyla; Bovidae. The record is from Ensembl.